UAUAUUUGCUGCUCUCUGCACACAGCUGUUGCUACUUGGGUGUACAGCACAGAAUUUUAGAUCUUGAACCAGAGUUCAAGUUCCUCCUUGGUGGCAAAUCUGGGGGAAAGCCAAUGCCCAGGUUCCAGAAGGAGACAGAGAGGCUAAGAGAAUAAAAACAACAAACGAAGAGCAUCAAAGACGGUUAGUGAUGGUGCUCAAAAUGGUUGUGCAAACCUAUCAUCUCACAGAGCAGCAGUACCCAUGGGGACUUCCUCUUAUUUUGAACCAUUACGAAGUCAUGGUAUGAUAUUUCUGGAGAUCCAUUGAAAAGUUCCCUCACACCGAAUUUGCAGCCAGGAUUUGAGCAAAUCCACCUCAGAUCUACACAUUAGCAAAGCAAACAUCUGGAGAUCCACAGAAGUCAUCACCCUAAGAGAUUAUCAACACUCUAGCGCCUAAAAGUUUGUUUAUGAAUCAGAGACACAGCAAAGACACUUACCAGCCCAAUGUGGGAACAAAGUGAGGAAUGACAAUUCUCCCAGGAGGUGCUUCAGAGACAAGGGACAUUCCAAUCCUAUCACAUAGUAACCACAGAGACCUGAGCUGUGAUUCUAAGACACCAGCGUCAAGAAGAAAGUUGUUUGCUCCUUGAAGAAUUAACUCGCUUGUGUAUGUUAUGAAAUCAGUCAACACAAAAUUAAAAUACACACUCUUAGAAGUGCUACAGUUUCUCACAAAGCGGUGGUAGCAGAUACGCAAG
RNAcentral lists this long non-coding RNA (742 nucleotides) under Fukomys damarensis (Damara mole-rat). RNAcentral's name for it is "lncRNA (ENSFDAG00000023193.1)". Lineage: Eukaryota; Metazoa; Chordata; Mammalia; Rodentia; Bathyergidae. The record is from RNAcentral.